GAUGAACGCUGGCGGCGUGCCUAAUACAUGCAAGUCGAGCGAGCGGCGGACGGGUGAGUAAUGUAUGGGAAACUGCCUGAUGGAGGGGGAUACCUACUGGAAACGGUAGCUAAUACCGCAUACCAUCAGAUGUGCCCAGAUGGGUUUAGCUAGUAGGUGGGGUAAUGGCUCACCUAGGCGACGAUCCCUAGCUGGUCUGAGAGGAUGACCAGCCACACUGGAACUUGGACGCUGUCCAGACUCCUGCGUGGGGCAGCCGUGGAGAAUCUUGGACAAUGGGCGCCAGCCUGAUGCAGCCAUGCCGCGUGUGUGAAGAAGGCCUUCGGGUUGUAAAGCACUUUCAGCGAGGAGGCGUUGCUCGCAGAAGAAGCACCGGCUAACUCCGUGCCAGCAGCCGCGGUAAUUC
Molecule: ribosomal RNA, 406 nt
Filed under: uncultured bacterium
Lineage: Bacteria
Description: partial 16S ribosomal RNA
Rfam family: Bacterial small subunit ribosomal RNA
Source: RNAcentral